This 553-nucleotide long non-coding RNA is filed under the name Salvia miltiorrhiza (redroot sage). RNAcentral's name for it is "long non-coding RNA (SMIL_LNC008158)". The record is from RNAcentral. Lineage: Eukaryota; Viridiplantae; Streptophyta; Magnoliopsida; Lamiales; Lamiaceae.
AUGGGACGGAGGGAGUAAAUUACAAGAAAACAUGUAACUGUCGAAUUUCGACGGGUAAUACACUAGUGUUAAUAAUUGCAAGAAGGAAUGUUAAUUAAUCCACCACAUUCUGCUGCCAGAAGUACUUGAAUAGAAUAGAGCAUUAAUUACAACAGAAGCAUGAAAAAGAAGUAGAAGAGUCGUGAAUUCACUCAAACAAACAUAUCAUCCACUAUACCAUCAACUUUUUGCCUUCUUAAUUUGAACAUUCGAGUAUUUGAUGAGCUACAUCAUAAACAACGGCCAUUCUGAACUCUGCAGAGGGGAAAAAAAGUAAUUAUAGGAGUCAUCUAACAAAACCAAGUAGCAAAUUAAAUAUUCAAACGAGACGAAGAUGAUGAUUCCAUACAUAUUUUUGGAAGAAACUAAAUCUGAAAAUGAUGACUCCAUCCAUAUUUUUGGAAAAAACUAAUCUGAAAAUGAUGAUUCCACACAGAGCAGUUCUCGAAACAAAGGCAACCAAAUUAGUCAAAUUUUACAAAUCUCUAACCUGAAAAGGAGCAGACAUCAUAUC